Molecule: ribosomal RNA, 779 nt
Filed under: uncultured Neocallimastigales
Lineage: Eukaryota; Fungi; Neocallimastigomycota; Neocallimastigomycetes; Neocallimastigales
Description: partial large subunit ribosomal RNA
Rfam family: Eukaryotic large subunit ribosomal RNA
Source: RNAcentral
CGAGCACGCGCGUGUGGCAUAUCAAUAAGCGGAGGAAAAGAAACUAACAAGGAUUCCCUUAGUAACGGCGAGUGAAGCGGGAAGAGCUCAAAUUUGAAAUCUUCAAGGUUUUACCUUGACGAAUUGUAGUUUAUAGAAGUGUUUUCUGUAGUGGAGUUUGGUAAAAGUUCUUUGGAAUAGGACAUCAUAGAGGGCUGAGAAUCCCGUAUUUGACCAUUUCUUUCUAGCUGUGUGAUACACUUUCAAAGAGUCGGAUUGUUUGGGAAUGCAGUCCAAAAUGGGUGGUAAAUUUCAUCUAAAGCUAAAUAUUGGCGAGAGACCGAUAGCGAACAAGUACCGUGAGGGAAAGAUGAAAAGGAACUUUGAAAAGAGAGUUAAACAGUACGUGAAAUUGUCAAAAGGGAAGCGUUUGACACCAGUGUUGUUUUUCCGAAAAUCAAUUACGAAUGUUUUGUUUUUGAGGAGUUAUGACUUCAUCGGCUUGCUCCUUUCUUUACGAAACUUUCUUAAUGCACUUUUCGGUUAACAAGUCAACAUCAAUUUCUUUUGUUGUAAAAGGGUAUGAGGAAGGUGGCUUUCUUUUCGGAGAAAGUGUUUAUAGCCUUGUGCCUCUAGCAAUCGGAGAGAUUGAGGUCUGCAGCGUAGAUCCUUCGGGGUUAGAUACGUUUGUGCUAAGUUAUAGCUUUUCAUAGACAACUUGUUGACUAUGUUUAGUCUUGUAGCUUACUCGCUGACGCUAUUUUACCUACGCUUAGGAUGUUGAACUCUAUCACACACAG